ACGGGGCCCGCACAAGCGGUGGAGCAUGUUGGUUUAAUUCGAUGCAACGCGAAGAACCUUUACCUGGUCUUGACAUCCACGGAAGUUUUCAGAGAUGAGAAUGUGCCUUCGGGAACCGUGAGACAGGUGCUGCAUGGCUGUCGUCAGCUCGUGUUGUGAAAUGUUGGGUUAAGUCCCGCAACGAGCGCAACCCUUAUCCUUUGUUGCCAGCGGUCCGGCCGGGAACUCAAAGGAGACUGCCAGUGAUAAACUGGAGGAAGGUGGGAUGACGUCAAGUCAUCAUGGCCCUUACGACCAGGGCUACACACGUGCUACAAUGGCGCAUACAAAGAGAAGCGACCUCGCGAGAGCAAGCGGACCUCAUAAAGUGCGUCGUAGUCCGGAUUGGAGUCUGCAACUCGACUCCAUGAAGUCGGAAUCGCUAGUAAUCGUGGAUCAGAAUGCCACGGUGAAUACGUUCCCGGGCCUU
This 469-nucleotide ribosomal RNA is filed under the name uncultured Enterobacteriaceae bacterium. RNAcentral describes it as "bacterial SSU rRNA". It matches the Rfam family "Bacterial small subunit ribosomal RNA", at positions 916 to 1381 of the family's 1533-position model. Lineage: Bacteria; Pseudomonadati; Pseudomonadota; Gammaproteobacteria; Enterobacterales; Enterobacteriaceae. The record is from RNAcentral.